RNAcentral lists this ribosomal RNA (953 nucleotides) under Camarosporidiella halimodendri. RNAcentral describes it as "SSU rRNA". It matches the Rfam family "Eukaryotic small subunit ribosomal RNA", at positions 139 to 1102 of the family's 1831-position model. Lineage: Eukaryota; Fungi; Ascomycota; Dothideomycetes; Pleosporales. The record is from RNAcentral.
UUGGAUAACCGUGGUAAUUCUAGAGCUAAUACAUGCUGGAAACCCCGACUUCGGAAGGGAUGUAUUUAUUAGAUAAAAAACCAAUGCCCUUCGGGGCUUCUUGGUGAUUCAUAAUAACUUUACGGAUCGCAUGGCCUUGCGCCGGCGACGGUUCAUUCAAAUUUCUGCCCUAUCAACUUUCGAUGGUAAGGUAUUGGCUUACCAUGGUUUCAACGGGUAACGGGGAAUUAGGGUUCGAUUCCGGAGAGGGAGCCUGAGAAACGGCUACCACAUCCAAGGAAGGCAGCAGGCGCGCAAAUUACCCAAUCCCGACACGGGGAGGUAGUGACAAUAAAUACUGAUACAGGGCUCUUUUGGGUCUUGUAAUUGGAAUGAGUACAAUUUAAACCUCUUAACGAGGAACAAUUGGAGGGCAAGUCUGGUGCCAGCAGCCGCGGUAAUUCCAGCUCCAAUAGCGUAUAUUAAAGUUGUUGCAGUUAAAAAGCUCGUAGUUGAAACUUGGGUCUGGCUGGCAGGUCCGCCUCACCGCGUGUACUUGUCCGGCCGGGCCUUCCUUCUGGAGAACCUCAUGCCCUUCACUGGGCGUGUUGGGGACCAGGACUUUUACUUUGAAAAAAUUAGAGUGUUCAAAGCAGGCCUUUGCUCGAAUACGUUAGCAUGGAAUAAUAGAAUAGGACGUGCGGUCCUAUUUUGUUGGUUUCUAGGACCGCCGUAAUGAUUAAUAGGGACAGUCGGGGGCAUCAGUAUUCAAUUGUCAGAGGUGAAAUUCUUGGAUUUAUUGAAGACUAACUACUGCGAAAGCAUUUGCCAAGGAUGUUUUCAUUAAUCAGUGAACGAAAGUUAGGGGAUCGAAGACGAUCAGAUACCGUCGUAGUCUUAACCGUAAACUAUGCCGACUAGGGAUCGGGCGAUGUUCUUUUUCUGACUCGCUCGGCACCUUACGAGAAAUCAAA